Long non-coding RNA from Trifolium pratense (red clover), 550 nucleotides. RefSeq lists it as uncharacterized. The transcript is spliced from 3 exons. The record is from RefSeq and is a predicted model, not a curated record. NCBI's taxonomy places the organism in Eukaryota, Viridiplantae, Streptophyta, Magnoliopsida, Fabales, Fabaceae.
UCCAAUCCCUUUCACUGAAUCACAAAUUCAAUCCCUAAUUGAAGAAUCAAGGCUUACUGAACCCAAAUCGAAGAUCAGUGAAACGAUUAAGGGUUGUUACAGAGUCAUAAUUGCACCGCCUCUGCUCUCGAUCUAAAACUAGCUAUAAAGGUGGAAAAUAUGAUAAAGCUAAAUGAUGAAUUUGAUUACAAAAGCUUAUCAAGAAGGAUAGACAUAUAAGUAGGUAAACUCAUUAUGCAACAUGAUAGACAACAGAAGGCAUUUGAGGAUGAGAUUGAAAGCUUAGGUACUGAAGCACAACAUCUGAUACUUGAGGCUUAAAGAAACUUUGUAGAUUCAUUGGAGAUGAUGAUAAUUGACUCUAAAUUACCUUAUCCAAGUGGAACUGCUACAGGUGUUCUUAUUAAUGGAUUCCAUACUCCUUAAGGAAAUGUCAUGGCCAAGUAUGAUUACGAGGCCGAUUAUGUUUGUGUUAUUUGUCUUCUAUAUUUGUAAUUUCAAGAUGAAAACAUAUAAAACUAGUUUGGCAUCUUUGACAGGAAGUAACUUA